UGGGGAAUAUUGGACAAUGGGCGCAAGCCUGAUCCAGCCAUGCCGCGUGUGUGAAGAAGGCCUUUUGGUUGUAAAGCACUUUAAGUGAGGAGGAGGCUACUUGGAUUAAUACUCUAGGAUAGUGGACGUUACUCGCAGUAUAAGCACAGGCUAACUCUGUGCCAGCAGCCGCGGUAAUACAGAGGGUGCGAGCGUUAAUCGGAUUUACUGGGCGUAAAGCGUGCGUAGGCGGCUUCUUAAGUCGGAUGGGAAAUCCCUGAGCUGAACUUAGGUAUUGCAUUCGAUACUGGGAAGCUAGAGUAUGGGUGAGGGUGGUAGGAGUCCAGGUGUAUGUGUUAAAUGCGUAGGGAUCUGGAGGGAUACCGAUGGCUAAGGAAGGCAUCUGGCCGAAUACUUACGCUGACGUACGAAAGCAUGGGGAGCGAACAGG
Molecule: ribosomal RNA, 430 nt
Filed under: bacterium
Lineage: Bacteria
Description: partial 16S ribosomal RNA
Rfam family: Bacterial small subunit ribosomal RNA
Source: RNAcentral